RNAcentral lists this ribosomal RNA (460 nucleotides) under uncultured bacterium. RNAcentral describes it as "partial 16S ribosomal RNA". It matches the Rfam family "Bacterial small subunit ribosomal RNA", at positions 338 to 795 of the family's 1533-position model. The record is from RNAcentral.
CCUACGGGAGGCAGCAGUGAGGAAUAUUGGUCAAUGGGCGCGAGUCUGAACCAGUCAAGUCGCGUGAGGGAGGACGGCCCUACGGGUUGUAAACCUCUUUUGCCGGGGAGCAACGGGCGCCACGUGUGGCGCCACUGAGAGUACCCGGAGAAAAAGCAUCGGCUAACUCCGUGACAGCAGCCGCGGUAAUACGGAGAAUGCGAGCGUUAUCCGGAUUUAUUGGGGUUAAAGGGUGCGUAGGCGGACCGUUAAGUCAGUGGUCAAAUUGAGGGGCUCAACCCCUUCCCGCCAUUGAAACUGGCGUUCUUGAGUGUAAGAGAAGUAUGCGGAAUGCGUGGUGUAGCGGUGAAAUGCAUAGAUAUCACGCAGAACCCCGAUUGCGAAGGCAGCAUGCCGGCUUCCGACUGACGCUGAAGCACGAAAGCGUGGGGAUCGAACAGGAUUAGAUACCCCUGUAGUC